GCCUGGGUGGCUCAGUCGGUUAAGCGUCUGACUUCAGCUCAGGGCACGAUUUCACGGUUCGUGGGUUUGAGCCCCGCGCUGGGCU
Felis catus (domestic cat) is the source of this 85-nucleotide transfer RNA. It matches the Rfam family "tRNA". Rfam says of the family: Transfer RNA (tRNA) molecules are approximately 80 nucleotides in length. Their secondary structure includes four short double-helical elements and three loops (D, anti-codon, and T loops). The record is from Rfam. Lineage: Eukaryota; Metazoa; Chordata; Mammalia; Carnivora; Felidae.